Molecule: ribosomal RNA, 486 nt
Filed under: uncultured bacterium
Lineage: Bacteria
Description: partial 16S ribosomal RNA
Rfam family: Bacterial small subunit ribosomal RNA
Source: RNAcentral
AUUGAACGCUGGCGGCAUGCCUUACACAUGCAAGUCGAACGGCAGCACGGGUGCUUGCACCUGGUGGCGAGUGGCGAACGGGUGAGUCAUACAUCGGAACAUGUCCUGUAGUGGGGGAUAGCCCGGCGAAAGCCGGAUUACUACCGCAUACGAUCUACGGAUGAAAGCGGGGGACCUUCGGGCCUCGCGCUAUAGGGUUGGCCGAUGGCUGAUUAGCUAGUUGGUGGGGUAAAGGCCUACCAAGGCGACGAUCAGUAGCUGGUCUGAGAGGACGACCAGCCACACUGGGACUGAGACACGGCCCAGACUCCUACGGGAGGCAGCAGUGGGGAAUUUUGGACAAAGGGCGAAAGCCUGAUCCAGCAAUGCCGCGUGUGUGAAGAAGGCCUUCGGGUUGUAAAGCACUUUUGUCCGGAAAGAAAUCCUUGGCCCUAAUACGGUCGGGGGAUGACGGUACCGGAAGAAUAAGCACCGGCUAACUACGUG